AUUUGUCUGGUUAAUUCCGAUAACGAACGAGACCUUAACCUGCUAACUAGAUUCUUUUAUUUUAUAACUGAUAUCUUCUUAGAGGGACUAUGUAAUCUAAAUACAUGGAAGUUUGAGGCAAUAACAGGUCAGUGAUGCCCUUAUAUGUCCUGGGCUGCACGCGUGCUACACUGAUGCAUACAACAAGUGCCUAACCAGACAUGGUAUGGCAAUCUCGAAUAUGCAUCGUGAUGGGGAUAGAUCUUUGCAAUUAUAGAUCUUGAACGAGGAAUUCCUUGUAAGUGCAAGUCAUCAUCUUGCAUUGAUUAUGUCCCUGCCCUUUGUACACACCGCCCGUCGCUCCUACCGAUACCGGGUGAUCCGGUGAACCUUUUGGACUCAUUUGGGAAAGAUAAGUAAACCAUAUCACCUAGAGGAAGGAGAAGUCGUAACAAGGUUUCCGUAGGUGAACCUGCRGAAGGAUCA
RNAcentral lists this ribosomal RNA (465 nucleotides) under uncultured ciliate. RNAcentral describes it as "SSU rRNA". It matches the Rfam family "Eukaryotic small subunit ribosomal RNA". Lineage: Eukaryota; Ciliophora. The record is from RNAcentral.